Molecule: long non-coding RNA, 1154 nt
Organism: Lolium perenne
Lineage: Eukaryota; Viridiplantae; Streptophyta; Magnoliopsida; Poales; Poaceae
Source: RefSeq, a predicted model, not a curated record
CUUUUCGGCAUCAGAGUUACUGUGCAAUUAUUUUCUAAGAUAUGUUCAGUAUACCCACUCCUAUCAAGACGUAUUUGCACCAUGAUUUUAGUACAUCAUGAAUGUUAGAAUCUUAACACACGAGCAAGCAGCAAUUUGUACACAAAGAUAGAUCGACAAUGUUACUGUAAGUCAUUAGUUCUAGUGCUAAAUUGCCCAUUCAGGAAUGUUGCAUAGAUAAUUCUUAUUUUCCUCAUGAAUGCCUUGAGCCUCUUAAUUUGUAUUCCCCCCAUGAAUUCAGAAUUGUUGCACAGAUAAUUUCUAUUUUAGGAAUGUUGCAUGGUUCUUUUGUAGAAUCAAAAGUUCCUUGUUCAUCAACACUCUUAAUUUUAUGUCUAACCCUUGAGGAGGUUGGUUGUAAAAAGAAACUCCAUUAGGUUCCAGUUUUAUUUACUAUAACAUGUACUAUUUUCAUGAGCUUGACAUGUUAGGACUUUAGAGUUUAACUAUUUUUAUUUCAGGAAUGUUGCAUGGUUCUUUUCUAUAUUUGAUUCCUUGUUCAACAACACUCUUAUUUUAUGUUUAAGACUGGAUGUUGUGAACAUGGAGGCCAAUGGGAUGGUUGUGGUGGAAGAUCACAACGUCGACGAGUUCAUCAGCCUUGAGGCGCCCUUGAGGAGGUUGUGUGCAGCUCCGGGUUGCCAUUCUUGGUGUUCACGGAUGGUGGGAUCUGGGCAGACCGGAGUGCUGGCACGGACGACAACGGCCACCGAAUUUCUUACGGUUGGAUCAACCUGGACUAAGAUGGGCAGCGAGCCAGCGAAUUAAUGGUGCAAGUACAUGAGUGUCUAUUAGCGAGUGGUGUGCAUCAUCAACCUAGACAAGGAUCGACAUCAAUCCAGUGAGUGAAUGGUGCACGCAUAUCAUGUGCUCCAUUUAGUGAGUGGUGUGGUGGAGCAAUCUUCGCGUAUAGGACAUUGUAAAUUUGUAUUUGUUCCCUGAUUGCAGUAAUAAGAUGGGAGCUUUUAGAAUAAGCGUCUCCCAAAUGAUGCUCACAUUGCAGUCUAGGUUUUGUCUACGGUUAGCAUUUCAUUGAUUUUGUUCAUGAAGCCAGAGAUAGAUUGUACAAGAUAAAUCAGUAACAUUGUUAUAGUUAUAUAAAAUCUCUCAUGUAA